Molecule: ribosomal RNA, 460 nt
Filed under: uncultured bacterium
Lineage: Bacteria
Description: partial 16S ribosomal RNA
Rfam family: Bacterial small subunit ribosomal RNA
Source: RNAcentral
CCUACGGGAGGCAGCAGUGAGGAAUAUUGGUCAAUGGGCGUAAGCCUGAACCAGCCAAGUCGCGUGAGGGAUGACGGCUCUAUGGAUUGUAAACCUCUUUUAUAAGGGAAUAAAGUGUGGCACGUGUGCCAUUUUGUAUGUACCUUAUGAAUAAGGAUCGGCUAACUCCGUGCCAGCAGCCGCGGUAAUACGGAGGAUCCGAGCGUUAUCCGGAUUUAUUGGGUUUAAAGGGAGCGUAGGCGGCCUGUUAAGUCAGUGGUGAAAGUCUGCGGCUCAACCUUAGAAUUGCCGUUGAUACUGGCAGGCUUGAGUAUGUUUGAGGCAGGCGGAAUUCGUGGUGUAGCGGUGAAAUGCUUAGAUAUCACGCAGAACUCCGAUUGCGAAGGCAGCUUACUAAGCCAUGACUGACGCUGAUGCGCGAAAGCGUGGGUAUCAAACAGGAUUAGAUACCCGUGUAGUC